CAAUACUCCCGCCGGCGACCGGCGCACGGGUGAGUAACACGUAUGAAACCUGCCCGUAGCAGGGGGAUAAGCGGAAGAAAUUCCGUCUAAUACCGCGUAACAACCCGAGGAGGCAUCUCCUCGGGUUUAAAGGAAGCGAUUCCGGCUACGGAUGGUCAUGCGUCGCAUUAGCUAGUUGGCGGGGUAACGGCCCACCAAGGCGACGAUGCGUAGGGGUUCUGAGAGGAAGGUCCCCCACACCGGUACUGAGACACGGACCAGACUCCUACGGGAGGCAGCAG
This 281-nucleotide ribosomal RNA is filed under the name uncultured bacterium. RNAcentral describes it as "partial 16S ribosomal RNA". It matches the Rfam family "Bacterial small subunit ribosomal RNA", at positions 77 to 354 of the family's 1533-position model. The record is from RNAcentral.